This 1441-nucleotide long non-coding RNA is filed under the name Homo sapiens (human). Its description in RNAcentral is "long intergenic non-protein coding RNA 2241". The record is from RNAcentral. Lineage: Eukaryota; Metazoa; Chordata; Mammalia; Primates; Hominidae.
GUACAAGCUCUCGCCUGCCGCCAUGUAAACGUUCUUUGCUCCUGCUUCGUCUUCUGCCGUGAUUGUGAGGCCUCCCCAGCCAUGUGGAACUACUCAUCACUCACUGCAGAUGUUACUUUAAGACAUUCUGGAGCAGCGUCAUGUGCAGGAACAAUAAGGAAGUGAGUGCUUUUGUAAUUCCUGAACAACUGUGUCUUACACUUACUAAGGGAUUCAUGGGCAAUAUGACUGAAUAGGAACAGCUCCAGUCUGAAGCUCCCAGUGAGACCAACAUAGAAGUUCUCUUGCCUGCCACCAUGUAAGAUAUGCUUUUACUCUUCCGCCUUCCACCGUGACUGUGAGGCCUCCCCAGCCAUGUGAAACUGCCUUUGAGCUUAUACUGAAUUAUACCACCAGCUUUCCUAGGUCUUGAAGCUUACAGACAGCAGAUCUUGGGACUUCUCAGGCACCAUAAUCAAUCAUAGAUAAAUGAUCCAAUGAUUCGGAACUUGAAAAGUGGUAGCUUUAUGAAUUCUCCUUAAGAAGAAACCUGUGCCCUGAUCUUGCCUACUCACCCAAAGGCACUGUGAGAUAGCAUCAAAGGAACAGCUAGUAAGAGACACAGAGCCAGAAAUCAGGGAAGUAAAAUACACUUGACAUCUACGUUCGGAAAGAAAUUUUAGGAGGCAGAAGCAAAUGGAUCAGAAGCUGCUUAUAUUUUUGCAAGAUUACCAAAGAAACCAUUGGUGGAGAAAGUUCUGUGACCAACUUGUCUGAGUCUAGUAAGAUUGAACGCUCACACACAAGUUUCAUGAAGUGGGUUUGAUACUUACAGAUAAGCAGCAAGGACCAACAGAAGCUGAUGAUCUAUGGUGAACUUUUUCCCAAGGCUCCGGAAAGCUGCCUAAAGUAGAUGGAGUCUUCUCUGUGUGUGCCCCACUGGUCCUGCAGUUGAAGGAUCCGGUAAAGCAGCCUGCCCUUGGUUUUAUACUCCAGAGGAACGUGAUUCGCUGGACUAAAGCAUUGAAGUGCAUCCUGUUUCCGGGGGGCACUGGAACAGAGCCUGGUCUGUUCUAGCCAGUCCCUUUCUAUCUCAGGAUAACAUUCUACAGUUAUUCUUGAGAACUAUAAUCAAAUAAGCAGGGAGAACUGGGAAAGCAGAGGCUCAUUGUGGAACCCUCAAGGAGCAUGGGGUCGUCUUCAUCCCUCAGUUUAUAAAUGGCCAAGGAGAGUAAUGCAACAAAAACUUCUCAGAGUUAAAAGCCAGAGUUCCUAAAGAACCGUGGACAAAGGGUUCUGUCUAGUGGGCAGAAUUCAUCCAGCGAAGGAAAUUUGGAACCCAGGUUUUCCCAACCUACAUCUACAAAAUGGAAUGGGUCUGAUUCGCAAGUUUUCAGAGAAAGAAGCCAACCUUAAUCAGACUGUGAUAUGAUGAGGAAAUAAAACUUGCUGUGCUAAUCAA